GUUUGACCCAAGUAGCUGUGAAUUAUCUUAUUGGCCAAAAGGAAGCAAAACGUUGGGGCACAGCUCAUGGCAGUAUUGUUCCUUACCAGGCUUUUAAAACCAAGGAUGGCUAUCUUGUAGUUGGAGCAGGAAAUAACCAACAGUUUGCUACUGUGUGCAAGAUCUUGAAUUUACCUGAGUUGAUCGAUGACUACAAGUAUAAAACCAAUGAUCUUCGGGUGCAGAAUAGAAAAGAGCUUAUUAAAAUACUAUCUGCAAGGU
This is a non-coding RNA of Castor canadensis (American beaver), 261 nucleotides long. The record is from RefSeq and is a predicted model, not a curated record. NCBI's taxonomy places the organism in Eukaryota, Metazoa, Chordata, Mammalia, Rodentia, Castoridae.